Long non-coding RNA from Nanorana parkeri, 116 nucleotides. RefSeq lists it as uncharacterized. The transcript has 4 exons. NCBI's taxonomy places the organism in Eukaryota, Metazoa, Chordata, Amphibia, Anura, Dicroglossidae. The record is from RefSeq and is a predicted model, not a curated record.
CAAAAAUGGACCACGAAGCAAUCAAAGAAGGUGACCUGGGCUGAUGAAUCACAUUUUCUUUUACAUCAUGUGGAUGGCUAGGUGCGUGUGUGUGGCACUUUUUGGGCUACAACAAC